ACCAGACUCCUACGGGAGGCAGCAGUGGGGGAUAUUGCACAAUGGGGGGAACCCUGAUGCAGCGACGCCGCGUGGGUGAAGAAGCGCCUCGGCGCGUAAAGCCCUUUCAGCAGGGAAGAAAAUGACGGUACCUGAAGAAGAAGCCCCGGCUAACUACGUGUCAGCAGCCGCGGUAAUACGUAGGGGGCAAGCGUUAUCCGGAUUUACUGGGUGUAAAGGGAGCGUAGACGGCGAUGCAAGUCUGAAGUGAAAGGCGGGGGCCCAACCCCCGGACUGCUUUGGAAACUGGAUGGCUGGAGUGCAGGAGAGGUAAGUGGAAUUCCUAGUGUAGCGGUGAAAUGCGUAGAUAUUAGGAGGAACACCAGUGGCGAAGGCGGCCUACUGGACUGUAACUGACGUUGAGGCUCGAAAGCGUGGGGAGCAAACAGGAUUAGAUACCCGCGUAUGC
RNAcentral lists this ribosomal RNA (448 nucleotides) under uncultured bacterium. RNAcentral describes it as "bacterial SSU rRNA". It matches the Rfam family "Bacterial small subunit ribosomal RNA", at positions 330 to 794 of the family's 1533-position model. The record is from RNAcentral.